This 2365-nucleotide long non-coding RNA is filed under the name Anolis carolinensis (green anole). RNAcentral describes it as "lncRNA (ENSACAG00000035623.1)". The record is from RNAcentral. Lineage: Eukaryota; Metazoa; Chordata; Lepidosauria; Squamata; Anolidae.
CACCAGGAUAAUUUUCCUUCCUCCAGCUUUUCAAAGACUACUGUUGGGCAAAUCCUACUUCCACCUUAGCUAGUCUUGGAGUCCUCCUGCAAGACUAUUAAUUGGCAUUCUAGAACAGCUGCUGGGAAUUCUUCAAGUCCACCACUCAAGAUAGUGAGAGUAAUAUUCAGUCUGAGCCAGUGAUGUUUUUUGAUCUCAAGAUUUAUACAGGAUAAAUAUUUGUGGAAUCGGAACACAAGAUCUGAGAACCUUUGUAGAUUUCUGCUGUUUCUGUGUAAAUGCACACAGAUGGUGGUGGUGGUCAGAAAAAUAAAAAAUUACUGAAAAACUGUUUCAAAAAGAGAAAUAAAACACAUAAAACAUGAGGAUUAAAACCCUUUUCAAAAGAUAUAUUAAAAGACAAAAGAUAAAGAUCAGCAGAAUACCACAGCAUAAAAUGCCCUUUAAGGCAAUUAUUAUUAAUUUCUCAGGCCAAAAAAGCAAGUAUGAAGCCAUCUUGAUAUUCCUAGGGAGGCAAUUCAAAAGUCUGGGAGAAGCCACUGAGAAGGCCUUCUCCUAUGUUGUCUCUAAACAAACCCAAGGGUUUAUUUAUUUUAUUUAUUUACAGUAUUUAUAUUCUGCCCUUCUCACCCCGAAGGGGACUCAGGGCGGAUCACAUUAUAACACACAUAGGGCAAACAUUCAAUGCCCAUAAACACAUCAAACAGAGACUGAGAGACACACGCAGAGGCAAGUUAACCUUCUUCUGAGGGGAUGUUCGAUUCUGGCCACAGGGGGGAGCAGCUGCUUCAUCAUCCACACUGACGGCACUUCCUCAUUCCAGGUCGUAAAUUAGUUAAUCUUGCCUCCCCACUUUAUAAGUGGUACCUUAUCUCCUACUUGAUAGAUGCAACUAUCUUUCGGGUUGCUAAGUCAGCAACGAGCAGGGGCUAUUUUUUAUUUUUAAUUGACGGGUGCUCACCCCGCCACGGGCUGGCCUCAAACUCAUGACCUCAUGGUCAGAGUGAUUUAAGGCAGCUGCUCAACAGCUGCGCCACAGCCCAGCCUAAUUUGGGCUAACCUCCACAGAUGACUUUUAGCCUGGGCAUGUAAGUUUUACAGACACUCACACUCACCAGAAGGGAACAUAGGAAAAUUUCAUCGCCUCUUCAGGCAAUAGGCAUAAUCCUCUAACAAUGCCUCUGCACAUAUAACAAUGGAGCCAAACUAAAGGUCAUGGAAGUUGCCCAACACCUUGCCUCUGUACUUCUCUUGGGAACUCAUUCAGACUGGCUAACACCCAUUGCCACCCAUUGUUUCACCAAAACAAACCAUUAACUUGGGCCCUACCCACAUUCUUUAUUUCCCACAUAAACCCGAGAGAUGGACCAAAAAACAGACACAAACUUCAAACUGGGCAAUGAUAGUUUAUUAAAAUUCCCACCAGACCCGGAAGCCAAUCAGCUGCAGCAAGAGAUGGCGUACCUGAGCCAACCAGUGUGCAGAUCCUAGCUGGCCCUGGGCUGAGCCAAUCAAUGCUCCAAAUGCUAAACGUCCUUUGUUUUGAACUAAUGUCAGAGUCCUAUAAAUAUUUCUGUAAGUUUUCAUUGCAGCAUAUCAGAUGUGAGAGUGAAGACUCUUCUGGCAUUCACUCUGUCCAAAACAAAUAAAGCCUCCAUUCUUUUGCCUUCACCCUGCUGUGUCUUGUUUUGGAUUAGGGCUAGGCAUCCUGGGAACCUGAAACCAUGGUUUUUGUUGAGCUGAAAUCACAUAACAGUAUGCGCUGUGGUUUGUUCCCCUUGCCCCCUAUCCUCUGGGGAUGCCAAAACCAGAGGAUGCUUAAGCCCCAUAAUAUACAAAGGUGUGUGAAAAUUAUGUCUCUUAAACAAAUUUUCAAGAUCAAGGUUUGCUUUUGGGGAAUUAAAAAAAAUAUUUUCAAAACAUGAGUGGUUGAAUUUGUGGAUACAGAAUCCAUGGAUAUGGAAGGUUGGCUGUAGAAAGUAGAAUAUGCAAGAAUGCUUUAUUACUUGAGUCCCAUUGCUCUAAAAGCAAACAAAAGAAGACAGGUCAGGGAGAACACUUCAAUUAUCACCAUUUCCCCAAAAUUCCCAAAGAAGAUAUCUUGCAAUGUUCCAAAUGAUUUUUUAAAACAUUUAAUUGGUUUAAUAUCCUAUGUAGUUAAAAGGAUAAAAAUACAGUCAUCAUAAAAUGAUGCCUAAAGCAGCAGCAAAGACUAGAUAGAGCAAUGACAUUAAAUAGCUGGCCUGCAGCUAUUAAGAAUGGUGUAAAACCUUCAUUGCUCGAGAAAAGACAGCUGUGCCUCUCCAGAUUGGAAAUUUCAGAGUAUCACCACUGAGAAACUCUUUGCCCUGAUUGUCCUGCAGUC